Molecule: ribosomal RNA, 888 nt
Filed under: uncultured bacterium
Lineage: Bacteria
Description: bacterial SSU rRNA
Rfam family: Bacterial small subunit ribosomal RNA
Source: RNAcentral
AGAGUUUGAUCCUGGCUCAGAACGAACGCUGGCGGCGUGCCUAACACAUGCAAGUCGCGCGAGAAAAGGGGGGCAACUCCCUGAGUAAAGCGGCGCACGGGUGAGUAACACGUAGGUAAUCUACCCUCGAGUCCAGGAUAACCUACCGAAAGGUGGGCUAAUACCGGAUAUGACCACGGGAGUUUCGGCUCCUGCGGUGAAAGGUGGCCUCUGCUUGCAAGCUACUGCUCGGAGAUGAGCCUGCGGGCCAUUAGCUAGUUGGUGAGGUAACGGCUCACCAAGGCGAUGAUGGCUAGCUGGUCUGAGAGGAUGGCCAGCCACACUGGGACUGAAACACGGCCCAGACUCCUACGGGAGGCAGCAGUGGGGGAUAUUGCGCAAUGGGCGAAAGCCUGACGCAGCGACGCCGCGUGGGUGAUGAAGGCCUUCGGGUCGUAAAGCCCUGUCGAGGGGAACGAAACGGUCUCGACCUAACACGUCGAGUCCCUGACGGUACCCCUAAAGGAAGCACCGGCUAACUCCGUGCCAGCAGCCGCGGUAAUACGGAGGGUGCAAGCGUUGUUCGGAAUCACUGGGCGUAAAGGGCGUGUAGGCGGUCCGCUAAGUCUGAUGUGAAAGCCCGGGGCUCACCCCCGGAAGGGCAUUGGAAACUGGCGGACUCGAGUCCCGGAGAGGAAGGUGGAAUUCCUGGUGUAGCGGUGAAAUGCGUAGAUAUCAGAGGAAUACCGGUGGCGAAGGCGGCCUUCUGGACGGUGACUGACGCUGAGACGCGAAAGCGUGGGGAGCAAACAGGAUUAGAUACCCUGGUAGUCCACGCUGUAAACGAUGAGCACUAGUGUCGUGGUAUUGACCCCCGCGGUGCCGACGCUACGCAUUAGUGCUCCGCCU